This is a long non-coding RNA of Anser brachyrhynchus (Pink-footed goose), 2401 nucleotides long. The record is from Ensembl. Lineage: Eukaryota; Metazoa; Chordata; Aves; Anseriformes; Anatidae.
AUGCUGCCGUGGUGCAAACCACAGGGCUUGGCCGGGGCACUGGAGGGCGGUGGCAAGACCCGAAACCACGCAAGCCUCGCAUUUAUUUUUAAAUCCACCGGCGUUUUAGCUCCUGGGGCUGCUUCUCAGGCAGGACUCGGCUCCCCUGGGUUUGGCCCCUGUGGUUUGGGAGGUGCCACGUGGGGGUGCGGGACCCCCACCGGCCCAGCCCCGUGCUCACCCCAAAGCUGGCGCCAGCCUCCCCUGUCUGCCCCUUUGCAGCUUCGCCCCUGGAGCUCUGGAGGGGGCUCCCGGCUGCCAGGCUGCCCCCAGGUGCCCCUGAAAGAACCCCGCGACUCAGGUGUCCCCCCCGCCACCAGGGCUCGGUGCGGCUGGGGGGGUCAGGCCAUGGGGGCAGGGGGUAUACACGCACAUCCAGGGGCCAGGGCUGCAAGGACGCGGGGCUGCAGGUUGCGAGAGAACUGGGCACACGGGGACACGGGGAGCAGGGACGUGAGGAUGAACGUGGCUGGGGAGGCGAGCGGGCGGCCCGAAGGGAGCCUUGCUCAGGCAGCCCCCGCAGCCCGCACACCGGGGGGGGGGGGCUGCCAGCUUCCUGAGCCGCCUCUCGUCUCCCCAUGGCAACCCGGCGCGCCCCAGACGAAGCGGCCGCAAGAACCACGGCCGCGUGGGAGAUCGGCGCAGCCCCUGCAGCACCUGCCCCAGCCCCCACCCCACGGCUGCACGGCGCGGCACGGCACGGCACAACACGGCACGGCACGGCACGGUGAGCUGGCCUCGUCCUCCCUGUGCAGCCACUGGGAACACCGUCCCCAUCCCCAUCCAGCCGCCAGCGAGGGCGAAGCAGCCCAGGGUCCCCCCCAAAAGGCAAAGCCGGCCCCGCGUUGCCCCAGUGCGAGGCCAUCUCCUGCGUGUCCCAAACCGGAGCCAACCUCUGCAUCCGCUCGAGGCAAAACCAUCCCCAAGCACAACUCCAGUCCCUGCAGAGGGCAACCGGAAAGUGUCCUGAGUCCUGCCAAAAAGUACCACCAAUCCACGUGUCCCCAAAUGCAAAGCAACCCCUGCACCCCCCUGAAGGCAACGCCGACCCUCGUGUCCCCAAAGGCAAAGAUGUCCCCAAAGGCACAGCCAGCCCCAGCUUCGCAGCAAAAAACGGUGGCAGGAAUUCCCCAGACCCUUUGCCCCAUGGCCCAUGUGGCAAUGGUGAGUCCUUGGGGUUUUCCGCAGAAAUCCUGCCCUGGCCGAGCCCCGGGCACUGCAGAGGAGGGCAGGGACCCACCAGAGAGCCCGGGGAGGGGGCAUUUUUCCACCGGGGAGAAGAGGGCACAGGACAGCGUGGGCAGGCGGGGGACGUGGAACGGAGCUGGGGCAGGAGAGGGCAGGAAGGCACUGGUUGGGUAAAUCCCCCCGCUUGGACCCGCGGUGAGGUGGGGGUCACCCGGCACUGCCCCCUCCCACCUGCCCUCAGCUCCUCUCCGUGGGGACGGCGGCCAGGAGGGAGCCGCGGGGCUGCGCAGACCAGUGGGGGGGGUCCUCACCCCAGCGGAACGCGCCCCUCUUCCUGCCCGGCUCCGCCAGAGGCACCAGCAAGGCCACCCGCACCUGCACCCGAGGCCCCCAGGCCCCCUCCCUGAGACAGGAGCCCCCCAGGGAGGGCAGAGAGCCCCAGCCCCCGUGCACCUUUCCCUUCAUGCCCCCGCUUUGGGGUUUUUCCUGUGUUUCAGCAGCGCUGCAGCCAGGCCCUGCACAGAGAUUUUUGCAAAAGCAGCUCAGGGUCUGGGGAAGCGGAUGUUUUGUGGCUCUGGGUUUGACAUCUCCCCGGGGCUGGGUUUGUCGUGAGCCCCCCCAGCACCGAUCACACAUCCCCCAGACCCCAGCUUCUCUGCAGAGCUCUCAGAGGGGACGGAGCUAGAGAAAGAGCCCCCAAAGUGCCCGGUUUCAGGCAGGAGCUGGUGGCAGAGUCAGGAUGAGCAGCGGGGCAGAGGACGGGGUCUCUGCGGGCACCAAGCUCCCAGCACCCAGGCCCGGGGCAGCGGGGACGGGCACUGCCUCCUCACCUGCCCCUGAUGGGGGAGCGUGAGGAGAGCUCUGGGCGAAGCCCAGCGGGGCCCCCCAGGACCUGGACAAUGGCGGGCAGGAAACAACCCCAAGGCGCUGACACCCCCGGCCCAUGGGGGACACAUCACCCGUCCCUGACGGCGACAGUUUGCUGCUGCACGGCCCCGAGCCCGGCAGGGGGGCCGGGGGGAGCAGGCCCAGGAAGGACCGUGGCAAACCAAGCGGCCCUAACACGUUUAGACUUCCAACACAUUAAGCAGGUUGGUUUCAGCAUCAAAGUGACACCGUCUGUCUCGGCCGAGGGAAGGGAGAGGGGGAGGCAGCAGAAGGGGCGCUGCCAGCG